RNAcentral lists this ribosomal RNA (482 nucleotides) under uncultured bacterium. Its description in RNAcentral is "partial 16S ribosomal RNA". It matches the Rfam family "Bacterial small subunit ribosomal RNA", at positions 30 to 507 of the family's 1533-position model. The record is from RNAcentral.
AUUGAACGCUGGCGGCAUGCUUUAUACAUGCAAGUCGAACGGUAACAGGCCGCAAGGUGCUGACGAGUGGCGAACGGGUGAGUAAUGCAUCGGAACGUGCCCAGUCGUGGGGGAUAACUACUCGAAAGAGUAGCUAAUACCGCAUACGAUCUAUGGAUGAAAGCGGGGGACCGUAAGGCCUCGCGCGAUUGGAGCGGCCGAUGUCAGAUUAGGUAGUUGGUGGGGUAAAGGCUCACCAAGCCAACGAUCUGUAGCUGGUCUGAGAGGACGACCAGCCACACUGGGACUGAGACACGGCCCAGACUCCUACGGGAGGCAGCAGUGGGGAAUUUUGGACAAUGGGCGCAAGCCUGAUCCAGCAAUGCCGCGUGCAGGAAGAAGGCCUUCGGGUUGUAAACUGCUUUUGUACGGAACGAAACGGCUCUGGUUAAUACCCGGGGCUAAUGACGGUACCGGAAGAAUAAGCACCGGCUAACUACGUG